UACGGGGGGGGUAAGCGUUGUUCGGAAUUAUUGGGCGUAAAGGGCUCGUAGGCGGCCAACUAAGUCAGACGUGAAAUCCCUCAGCUUAACUGGGGAACUGCGUCUGAUACUGGAUGGCUUGGAUUCGGGAGAGGAUAGUGGAAUUCCCAGUGUAGUGGUGAAAUACGUAGAGAUUGGGAAGAACACCAGUGGCGAAGGCGGCUAUCUGGACGGUUUCUGACACUAAGACUCGAAAGCGUGGGGAGCAAACAGG
This 253-nucleotide ribosomal RNA is filed under the name uncultured bacterium. RNAcentral describes it as "partial 16S ribosomal RNA". It matches the Rfam family "Bacterial small subunit ribosomal RNA", at positions 524 to 776 of the family's 1533-position model. The record is from RNAcentral.